GGCUGGUCCAAAUGCAAUGGUGUUUACAACUAAUUGAUCAUAACAAGCUACAGAUUUCUUUAUUCCUUCUCUACUUCUAGUGCUUCCCGUGACUUACCUUUA
Molecule: unclassified non-coding RNA, 102 nt
Organism: Aotus nancymaae (Ma's night monkey)
Lineage: Eukaryota; Metazoa; Chordata; Mammalia; Primates; Aotidae
Rfam family: Y RNA
About the family: Y RNAs are components of the Ro ribonucleoprotein particle (Ro RNP), in association with Ro60 and La proteins.
Source: Ensembl